This 301-nucleotide ribosomal RNA is filed under the name uncultured bacterium. RNAcentral's name for it is "partial 16S ribosomal RNA". It matches the Rfam family "Bacterial small subunit ribosomal RNA", at positions 509 to 807 of the family's 1533-position model. The record is from RNAcentral.
CAGCAGCCACGGUAAUACGGAGGGGGCUAGCGUUGUUCGGAAUUACUGGGCGUAAAGCGUGCGUAGGCGGUUCGUUAAGUCUGUUGUGAAAGCCCCGGGCUCAACCUGGGAAUGGCAAUGGAUACUGGCGAGCUAGAGUGUGUCAGAGGAUGGUGGAAUUCCCGGUGUAGCGGUGAAAUGCGUAGAGAUCGGGAGGAACAUCAGUGGCGAAGGCGGCCAUCUGGGACAACACUGACGCUGAGGCACGAAAGCGUGGGGAGCAAACAGGAUUAGAUACCCCAGUAGUCCCUGUCUCUUAUAC